GACGAACGCUGGCGGCAUGCCUAAUACAUGCAAGUAGAACGCACAGUUUAUACCGUAGCUUGCUACACCAUAGACUGUGAGUUGCGAACGGGUGAGUAACGCGUAGGUAACCUGCCUGGUAGCGGGGGAUAACUAUUGGAAACGAUAGCUAAUACCGCAUAAUAUUAAUUAUUGCAUGAUAAUUAAUUGAAAGGUGCAAUUGCACCACUACCAGAUGGACCUGCGUUGUAUUAGCUAGUAGGUGAGGUAACGGCUCACCUAGGCGACGAUACAUAGCCGACCUGAGAGGGUGAUCGGCCACACUGGGACUGAGACACGGCCCAGACUCCUACGGGAGGCAGCAGUAGGGAAUCUUCGGCAAUGGACGAAAGUCUGACCGAGCAACGCCGCGUGAGUGAAGAAGGUUUUCGGAUCGUAAAGCUCUGUUGUAAGAGAAGAACGGGAGUGGGAGUGGAAAGUGCACACUGUGACGGUAUCUUACCAGAAAGGGACGGCUAAUUACGU
Molecule: ribosomal RNA, 504 nt
Filed under: uncultured bacterium
Lineage: Bacteria
Description: partial 16S ribosomal RNA
Rfam family: Bacterial small subunit ribosomal RNA
Source: RNAcentral